Molecule: unclassified non-coding RNA, 231 nt
Filed under: plant metagenome
Description: partial contains small subunit ribosomal RNA, internal transcribed spacer 1, and 5.8S ribosomal RNA
Source: RNAcentral
UCUCCGUUGGUGAACCAGCGGAGGGAUCAUUACAGAGUUGCAAAACUCCCAAACCAUUAUGAACGUUACCUAUCCCGUUGCUUCGGCGGGCGGCCCGGGCCCCGCGCCCGGCGCCCCCCGGCCCCCCGUGGGCGCCCGCCGGAGGUAAACCAAACCCUUGAAUUGCAUGGCCUCUCUGAGUCUUCUGUACUGAAUAAGUCAAAACUUUCAACAACGGAUCUCUUGGUUCUG